CCUACGGGAGGCAGCAGUGGGGAAUUUUGGACAAUGGGCGCAAGCCUGAUCCAGCCAUGCCGCGUGUGGGAAGAAGGCCUUCGGGUUGUAAACCACUUUUGUCAGGGAAGAAACGGCUUUUUCUAAUACAGAGAGCUAAUGACGGUACCUGAAGAAUAAGCACCGGCUAACUACGUGCCAGCAGCCGCGGUAAUACGUAGGGUGCAAGCGUUAAUCGGAAUUACUGGGCGUAAAGCGUGCGCAGGCGGCUUUGCAAGACAGAUGUGAAAUCCCCGGGCUCAACCUGGGAACUGCAUUUGUGACUGCAUGGUUAGAGUACGGUAGAGGGGGAUGGAAUUCCGCGUGUAGCAGUGAAAUGCGUAGAUAUGCGGAGGAACACCGAUGGCGAAGGCAAUCCCCUGGACCUGUACUGACGCUCAUGCACGAAAGCGUGGGGAGCAAACAGGAUUAGAUACCCUGGUAGUCCACGCCCUAAACGAUGUCAACUGGUUGUUGGACGGCUUGCUGUUCAGUAACGAAGCUAACGCGUGAAGUUGACCGCCUGGGGAGUACGGCCGCAAGGUUGAAACUUAAANGAAUUGACGG
Molecule: ribosomal RNA, 585 nt
Filed under: uncultured bacterium
Lineage: Bacteria
Description: bacterial SSU rRNA
Rfam family: Bacterial small subunit ribosomal RNA
Source: RNAcentral